AUCAAACAAGCAAAAAAACUAGUAUAUAUAUUUGCUAUCAUAUGGUAAAAGUACUAAGGAAGUCCUUGUACUUGGGGAAAGAUUGUAUUUCGGCCCCUCAAUUAAAAAAAUAGAUAAAUUAGUUCUUUUACAUUUUAAAAUGUGUAAAUUAGUCCCUCCAUUAAAUUUUAUCUAUCAAAUGAUGACAAAGACAUGCUAAAAAUUAUUUUUUAUGGGUAAAACUAUAAAAAUGGUCACCCAACUAUGCCUUUUGUUUUAUUUUGAUCUCCCAACUAUUAAUUUUUUUAUUUAGUCAGUAAGCUUUUCAAAAUUGAAUACUUUAGUCACUCUAAGCUAAUGUGGGUUUUUUAUUGGUCUAGUAACAAAAUUAGCCCAUAAUAUUUACACAUUCUAUCAAUUUGAUCCUAAAUAUAAAAAAUAAUAAUAAAUUUAGCCCUCAAUAUAAACAAAAUUUGUCAUUUUAGUUCUAAUUCUAAAAUAUUUAAUAAAUUUGGCCCUCAAAAUUUACAAAAUCUAUCAAUUUAGUCCUAAAUCUAAAAAUUAAAAUUAAAAAAAAUCAUUUUCAGCUCUGUAUAACCCAUUGGCUAACCUAUGUGAGAUAUUAAAAUAAGAAAAAGACUACACUCUUUCAAGUCACUUGCAAAAGAACCCUAACAGAUGACAUUAAGUCUAGAUUGAUAGAUUUUGUAAAUGUUGAGGGUCAAAUUUAUUGAAUUUUUUAGCAUUAGAACUAAAAUGACAAAUUUUGUAAACAUUGAGGGCUAAAUUUGUUGAUUUUUUUAUAUUUAGGAUCAAAUUGAUAGAAUGUGUAAAUAUAUGAGGGCUAAUUUUGUUACUAGACCAAUAAAAAAAUUGUUUCGAUACAGCUGCUAGAGCUGUACCAAAUCGAAGCAAACUCUCAAUACUAGAUAUGACCUCAAAAUAGCAGGGGUCGAGGUCGGCCAAUGAGACAAUGGUGGAUAAGCUUCAUAGUCGAGAGGGAAACAACCCAAAUCACCAACUAAGGCCCCUAAAUGACCACUCAGUGAUAAAUGAGGUAAGGUCCAGAGACAACCAGGAGGUUUGCCUAGAAGCAACCACUCUUGGAAGAGAGUAAUAGCUCACUGAUCGAGUGCUCCUACGCUGAAGAUGAACGGGACUAAGCUAUCUGUCGAAGCUGUGGGAUGUAAAAAUGUAUCAGCAGGGGAGCGUUCCACCUUAGGAGAAAGCACCCGCGUGAGCGGGAGUAGACAAAGCGGAAGCGAGAAUGUCGACUUGAGUAAUGCAAACAUUAGUGAGAAUCUAAUACCCCGAAAACCCAAGGGUUCCUCCGGAAGGUUCAUCUACGUAGAGUGAUUCAGGGCUUAAGAUCAGGCCAAAAGGCGUAGUCAAUGGAAAAUAGGUGAAUAUUUCUAUACUACCCCUUGUUGGUCUCGAGGGACGAAGGAGGCUAGGUUAGCCAAAAAAUGGUUAUUGGUUCAAGGACACAAUGUUUCCCUACUUUUUCAGGGUAAGAAGGGGUAGAGAAAAUGCCACGAUCCAAUGUUCGAGUACCAAGCACUUCGGCGUUGAAGUAAUCCAUACUAUACUCCUAGGAAAAGCUCGAACGACCUUCAACAAAAGGGUACCUAUACCCGGAAUCGACACAAACGGGUAGGUAGAGAUACCUAGGGCCAAAAGACAACUCUCUCUAAGAAACUCGACAAAAUAGCCCUGUAACUUCGGGAGAAGGGAUGCCUCCUCAUAAAGGGGGUCACAGUGAUUAGGCCUGGGUGACUGUUUACCAAAAACACAGGUCUCUACAAAGUCAUAAGACCAUGUAUGGCGGCUGAUGCUUGGCCAAUGCCGGAAGGUUAAGGAAGUUGGUGACCUGAUGACAGGGGAGCUGGCGACUGAAACCCUGGAGAACGACGGUCGUAACUAUAAUGGUCCUAAGGUAGUAAAAUUCCUUGUCGAGUAAGUUUCAACCCACACGAAAGGCAUAAUGAUCUGCUCACUGUCUCGGAGAGAGGCUCAGUGAAAUAGACCUGUCUGUAAAGAUGCGGGCUACCUGCACUUGGACAGAAUGACCCUGUGAAGCUUCACUGUUCCCUAGGAUUGGCUUUGGGCUUUUCCUGUGCAGCUUAGGUGGAAGGCGAAGAAGGCCUCCUUCUGAGGGGCUCGAGCCAUUAGUGAGAUACCACUCUAGAAGAGCUAGAAUUCUAACAUUGUGUCAGAACCUACGGGCCAAUGGAAAGUCUCAGAUAAACAGUUUCUAUAGGGCAUAGGCCUCUCAAAAGGUAAUGGAGGUGUGUAAAGGUUUCUUCAGGCCGAACGGAGAUUGGCCUUCGAGUGCAAAGGAAAAAGGGAGCUUGAUUGCCAGACCCACCCAUAAAGUAGGGACGGAAGUCAGCCUUAGUGAUCCGACGGUGCCGAGUGGAAGGUUUGUUGCUCAACGGAUAAAAGUUACUCUAGGGAUAACAUGCUGAUCUUCCCCAAGAGCUCAUAUUGACAGAAAGGUUUGGCACCUUGAUGUCGGCUCUUCGCCACUUGGGGUUGUCGUAUGUUCCAAGGGUUGGGUUGUUCUCCCAUUAAAGCGGUAUAUGAGCUGGGUUUAAAACAUCGUGAGAUAGUUCAGUCCAUAUCUGGUGUGGGCGUUAGAGCAUUAAGAUGACCUUUCUUUAGUACAAGAGGAUCGGGAAGGAUGCACCUCUAAUGUACCAAUUAUCGUGCUCACGAUAAACGUUGGGUAGCACUUGUUGUUCCUCUACGCCUAGGACACUAGAAUAUUUAACCAUGAAUGAAAAAAGCCGUACGUGAAAAGGAAAAGAAUAUUGGCUAGUGAUUAUGAGGCCCCAAUUCUUAAUUGGAAGAGACACCAAAGGCCUCCGCCCUUUCCAUCCCAUGGAUAGAUAGAGAGGGAGGGAAGAGCUU
Molecule: ribosomal RNA, 2892 nt
Filed under: Gossypium barbadense (sea-island cotton)
Lineage: Eukaryota; Viridiplantae; Streptophyta; Magnoliopsida; Malvales; Malvaceae
Description: bacterial LSU rRNA
Rfam family: Bacterial large subunit ribosomal RNA (bases 723-2892)
Source: RNAcentral